UUGAUCCAAACUUAGUAUGUUUAUUAAGAAAUCCAGUAAAUAAGUACAUUAACAAAUAUCAGAAUCCAUAAACUUAAAGAUCAUGAUCCAAUAUGAUUACUCUAGUAAUGGUACACACUUAACAAUUAUCAGAAUCCAUAUAUACUCUUUUCUACUAUCAUUUAUGGCAAAAAGAUAUCACUAAUUAGCGCAACUCUAUAGUAAACGUACCACGUACAUAUUACAACGUCACUUGUGCUAACAUUUUUUAUUUUUCAAAAAUGAUUUGUUGGGAUGAUGAAGUACUUGGUAUUGGCACCAUUUGCGUGUCACAGCAUAUACACAUUCUUCAUGAGCAAAGAUGAAAGUGAGAGGGACUUGUUCUACAUACUCCUACUCCCAUUAACUCUCUUCAGAAUGGUUCACUACCAGACAUGGAUAUCUUUCUCCCGCUACAGGACUGCAAACGGGAAUAAUCGAAUUCUUGAUAAAAGCAUCGAAUUUGAUCAAGUUGACAGAGAAAGCAACUGGUAGGUACCUUCAUUUUUCACUUUUUGUAGAUACAAGGGAUUUAACAAAACGAAAGGACAAUGCAAAAUCAAAUGAUUGUUUUGUAGGGAUGAUGAGAUCAUACUUUUUGGGUUGGUAUAUUAUAUCGGAUACCUGAUUCUGGAACAAGCUCAUCACAUGUCUAUGUGGAGGACCGAUGGGAUCGUUAUAACUGCCUUGCUUCAUAUUGGUCCUGUAGAGUUCCUCUAUUAUUGGCUACACAGAGCUCUGCAUCAUCAUUUUCUCUACUCUCGAUACCAUUCGCAUCACCACUCCUCCAUUGUUACUGAGCCAAUCAGUGGUAAUUUGUCUUCAAAAUUGUUUUCCAUCACUUUGAUUAAUUAGAUCUGAUCAAUCCUGGAGAAGAUGCAAGUGACCAUGUUAGUUCUUCUUUAACUAAUUUGAAAUUGAUCUUCGGUAAGUAGUAGUUGCAAUUUUGAAGAAGAAAAAAUCUAAAAAAGUAACUCAGUUAUAUACUAUUGUCAAGUCAUACAGUAAGUCACAUGGCAUAACUAACGGGGGAUAUAUAGUGCAAUUUUACCAAUCAAUUACCAACUUGUAUGGUUUACAAAGUUAUUUUUAUUUUAUUUUUGGCAGCUGUAGUUCAUCCCUUUGUUGAGAUACUAGCAUAUUAUACACUCUUUGGCUUACCUGUAUUCACAACAUUAUUCACCGGGACUGCUUCUAUAGCUUCAAUUGGUGCUUAUAUCAUCUAUAUUGAUUUCAUGAACCUCAUGGGCCAUUGCAACUUCGAGCUAAUUCCUAAGUGGAUGUUCUCUGUCUUUCCCCCUCUCAAGUACUUCAUGUAUACCCCCUCGUGAGUUAAAAAUUCUUGCCCUGUAUUUUGAAUUUUUUUCUCCGCGAUGCUUUAUACAACAAUGUCUCUAAUUAGACAGUUAUUAUUAAACUUUAGCUACUCGGGGAAAUAAAUAGAGACAAUGGAAAUUAAUGUUUCUUUCAAAUGAACUUUUUCCUAUAGUCAGUAAUAACUGAAGCUCUGAAUUUGUGAUUAUUUAUUCUAUUACCGUUAAUAUCAAUGUUUUGAUGGCACAGGUACCACUCACUACAUCACACCCAAUUCAGAACAAAUUAUUGCCUUUUCAUGCCACUCUAUGACUAUAUCUACGAUACAGUGGACAAGUCAUCGGACACAUUGUAUGAGAAGUCACUUGAGAGAGAAGCUGAAGUGCCAGAUGUGGUGCACCUUACACAUCUAACAACCCUAGAAUCCAUCUACCAUCUUCGAAUAGGAUUUGCAUCGCUGGCCUCAAAGCCUCACGCCUCUAAGUGGUAUAUGUUGUUCAUGUGGCCCGUCACACUAUGGUCAAUAAUGCUUGCAUGGAUUUAUGAUUACACAUUUGUUGUUGAGAGAAACUUGUUCAAGAAUCUCAAAUUACAAACUUGGGCUAUUCCAAAGUAUCGCGUACAAGUAAUUAAGCUAUCAUUAUUGAAGAUUGGGUUACAUUUUGCAGGUCUUUUUUUUAAAGGGAUUAGUAAUUUGACUUGUUUUUUGAUUUCGUUGCAGUACUUUAUGCAAUGGCAAAGAGAGAGUAUUAACAAUAUGAUCGAGAAAGCCAUCAUUGAAGCAGAUCAAAAAGGCAUAAAAGUGUUGAGCCUUGGACUCUUAAAUCAGGCAAGUCAAAAUAUAUGUCUAAAAAGCCUUAUAAUACCCAUCCUUAUUUAUCUAUGAGAACAAUGCACAAUCUAUUCUUAACUAGUAAUUAUCUUGCAGGCUUAUAGCAAAAUGUUCCGUAAGCAAUCUCAACAUACUGUUAUUAUGGACAGAAAGAUUUUUUAAAAAAUUCACCCCUCAUCCUAUAUCAAUGUUUGUAGGUUGAACCAAUUAAAGAGGGUCAGUUCAUAUUUAUGCAUUAUUUCAAAUGUAACUUUCCAGGAAGAGCAACUGAAUAAUAACGGAGAACUUCACCUAAGGAGGCAUCCUCAGUUGAAAGUGAAGGUGGUUGAUGGAAGUAGCCUAGCUGUGGCCGUGGUUCUCAAUUCCAUUCCUAAAGGAACUUCUCAAGUUGUCCUUCGAGGUCGUUUUUCCAAAGUUGCUAACUCCAUUGCUCUUGUCUUGUGCGAAGGAGGAAUUCAGGUAUAAUUGACUAUUAAUCUCCUUCCCCAGUUUUGGUUUUCUAUUCUCUCAUUCAUCAUAAUUUUCUAUGUAUAGGUUGUCACGUUGGAUGAAGAAGAUUACAAGAGACUUAAAGCAAAGCUUACCCCAGAGGCUGCAACUAAUUUGGUCCUCUCAAAAAGUUAUAAUGUUUCAAAGGUAUAAACCAGAAACAGAUUGAAAUAUACUACUCUAAAUCUAGACAUAUUUGUUACAUUUCCUUGGACCUGCCCCUCCCUCGUCAAUAUCUUAACCCAAUAUGUUGAGGUUCGAACAACUUUGGACUUCGUGAAAGUCAAAAUAUAGAAAAGAAUCUUCCCCAACAUGUCAUGUAUGUCUCCUUUCUAUAAAAGAGACUCUUAAUUGAAGUAUUACAUUGCAGACAUGGCUAGUAGGGGAUGGAUUGAGCAAAGAUGAGCAAUUGAAAGCACCAAAAGGAACAUUAUUCAUUCCUUAUUCACAAUUCCCACCGAGGAAAGUUCGCAAGGAUUGUUUCUAUUUCAACACACCAGCCAUGAUUGCUCCAAAACAUGUUGAAAAUGUAGACUCUUGUGAGGUUAGAAAAGAUUAUUCAAUUUUCCUUAAUUUCUCUAUACUAAUUUGAUCUUAAAUGAGUGUGAUUUUACAUUUUGAAUCUAGAAUUGGCUGCCAAGAAGAGUGAUGAGUGCCUGGAGAAUAGCUGGAAUUUUGCAUGCAUUGGAAGGUUGGAAUGAGCAUGAAUGUGGUGACAUGAUACUUGAUACUCAAAAAGUGUGGAAAGCUAGCCUCAAACAUGGUUUUUGCCCAUUAACCAAGAUAUCCGCUGCUUAAUCGGGUUUAGACUACAUAUAGACUGCUCCAUUUACUAUCAAAACUUGGAUCAGUGGUGACUUUAAAGCUUUGUGCAACAGAUUUAUUCUGUUGCUCUAAGGUAUAGAAGUUCACUCAAUAAAAUUUGUCCUACAUAUAAAAAAAAAAGUAUGUACAAUGCUAAUCACAAAUAAGAUUUGAAUUUUAAGGCCUCUUAUUAAUAUUUGGCUUAAGAUCAACUGUCUGUGGUCAAUUCUCUCCUCCCAAACCCAACUCCGUACAAACAUAGUGAGAAAUGGUUUACAAUAACCGAUUGGUACACACAACUAACCAAGUUAUGAGAAUUCAAAGAGAAUUGAUGAAAAGUAAGUCAUUAUGAAUGAAGGAAAAAAAUCGCAUAUGAGGAAAUCAAAAACAGCAAAUUAGAAACAAAUCACAAAGAAAAUUGAAGUGAAGCUUUACCAGAACGACGAAGCAAUUGAGAACCGCCGGAGAAGAGCACAUUUGAAUUAUAUGAUAUCAGGAGCUGUUGCAACCCACCUAAAUAAAAUUACUCCAUUAAUAAAAGGGUUUCUAUCAAAGACACUAAAAUAUAAGUUAUUUUUGCGUAAACCAGAGAAGACAGAGAUGAAAU
Molecule: long non-coding RNA, 4064 nt
Filed under: Solanum lycopersicum (tomato)
Lineage: Eukaryota; Viridiplantae; Streptophyta; Magnoliopsida; Solanales; Solanaceae
Description: long non-coding RNA (SLYC_LNC000560)
Source: RNAcentral